CCUACGGGGGGCAGCAGUGGGGAAUAUUGCGCAAUGGGCGAAAGCCUGACGCAGCGACGCCGCGUGAGGGAUGAAGGUCUUCGGAUCGUAAACCUCUGUCAGCAGGGAAGAACGGUCACUGUGCUAAUCAGCAGUGAAUUGACGGUACCUGCAAAGGAAGCACCGGCUAACUCCGUGCCCGCAGCCGCGGUGAUACGGAGGGUGCGAGCGUUAAUCGGAAUUACUGGGCGUAAAGCGCUCGUAGGCGGUAUGUCAAGUCAAGGGUGAAAUCCCCGCGCUCAACGUGGGAACUGCCUUUGAAACUGGGAAACUGGAGUGUGUGAGAGGAUAGUGGAAUUCCAGGUGUAGGAGUGAAAUCCGUAGAUAUCUGGAGGAACAUCAGUGGCGAAGGCGACGAUCUGGCACAUAACUGACGCUGAGGAGCGAAAGCGUGGGUAUCAAACAGGAUUAGAUACCCUUGUAGUC
This 465-nucleotide ribosomal RNA is filed under the name uncultured bacterium. RNAcentral's name for it is "partial 16S ribosomal RNA". It matches the Rfam family "Bacterial small subunit ribosomal RNA", at positions 338 to 795 of the family's 1533-position model. The record is from RNAcentral.